GACGAACGCUGGCGGCGUGCUUAACACAUGCAAGUCGAACGAGUGGCGAACGGGUGAGUAAUACGUGGGUAACCUGCCCUCCUUUUUGGGAUAAGCCUUGGAAACGGGGUCUAAUACCGAAUAAAGGGGGAUGGGCUCGCGGCCUAUCAGCUUGUUGGUGGGGUGAUGGCUACCAAGGCGUGACGGGUAGCCGGCCUGAGAGGGUGACCGGCCACAUUGGGACUGAGAUACGGCCCAGACUCCUACGGGAGGCAGCAGUGGGGAAUAUUGCACAAUGGGCGGAAGCCUGAUGCAGCGACGCCGCGUGGGGGAUGAAGGCCUUCGGGUUGUAAACUCCUUUCGACAGGGACGCGGUACCUGUAUAAGAAGCACCGGCUAACUACGUGCCAGCAGCCGCGGUAAUUC
This 405-nucleotide ribosomal RNA is filed under the name uncultured bacterium. RNAcentral's name for it is "partial 16S ribosomal RNA". It matches the Rfam family "Bacterial small subunit ribosomal RNA", at positions 28 to 526 of the family's 1533-position model. The record is from RNAcentral.